GUCUUUUUGAAUGUAAAUGCUUUGUUCCAGACGGACAGGGAGUCGCUAUACGGCUGUCCAAGCAAAUCCACGUCUGUAACAGAGACUGAAGAAGAUUGUAACAGAGUCCAACAGUCUGCAGUGGCCACCACAGUCCACCGUCUUCACAUCACAAGGACAAUUUCAACAUGUCUGUGAAGUCUCCUUGUCCUUGUACUCAUGCCUUGAUGAACAAGUUUGUUUCAUGAAGAAGGUGAUAUUCCAACAGAGCUGAAAAGGACAGCCUUCGCUGGCUUACAUUUGAAGAGCAGAGCAGCUGAAGAAAAGCUGUGACUCCACCGUGAGAUGGACUCUGUGAUUCAUCACCUCCACCAGCAACACACUGACCUGCAUUCAUCCAUAGAUGACACUCAGGACUCUGGUUCCACAGCUGUUCUUGUUCACAGCAGCAUCCACUUAGAGAGGAAACUGGAUAAUGCAAUGAUGAUGUUCCAGCGUCAUGUUGUUGCUCCUCCUUCUCAUGCUCACCUGCCAGAGUUUAACUCCGCCUCUCAGACAGUCAGGUCACCUGAUCUGCAUGUUUUGCUGUACGAUGACAUCAUCUUGACGUUGACGAGGAGAAAAACUAGUUUUGUCCUGCAGAUGGCGAUCUUGCACCGUGUUCAGAGAGCCGACACUUUGAUGCUGCUGCUCUACUCAACUUACUUUAGCCUGGGUUGGACUUUAUAUGAGCAGCUUCCACUCUGGUUUCACUGUUAAACACACUUGUUUGAUUUCACUUGGAAAAGCUGAAAAAUAAAUAUUUUAUUGCAAAAUUA
Oreochromis niloticus (Nile tilapia) is the source of this 797-nucleotide long non-coding RNA. RefSeq lists it as uncharacterized. The transcript is spliced from 2 exons. The record is from RefSeq and is a predicted model, not a curated record. NCBI's taxonomy places the organism in Eukaryota, Metazoa, Chordata, Actinopteri, Cichliformes, Cichlidae.